This 921-nucleotide ribosomal RNA is filed under the name Mortierella sp. YECT3. RNAcentral describes it as "eukaryotic LSU rRNA". It matches the Rfam family "Eukaryotic large subunit ribosomal RNA", at positions 76 to 856 of the family's 3401-position model. The record is from RNAcentral. Lineage: Eukaryota; Fungi; Mortierellomycota; Mortierellomycetes; Mortierellales; Mortierellaceae.
UCCCCUAGUAACGGCGAGUGAAGCGGGAUGAGCUCAAAUUUGAAAUCUGGCUGGUUUACUAGUCCGAGUUGUAAUUUAAAGAAGCGUUUUCGGUGGCAGCCUGGGUAUAAAUCCUUUGGAAUAGGGUAUCAUAGAGGGUGAGAAUCCCGUCUUUGACCUAGUGCAUGCUACUAUGUGAUACGUUUUCAAAGAGUCGAGUUGUUUGGGAAUGCAGCUCAAAAUGGGUGGUAAAUUUCAUCUAAAGCUAAAUAUUGGCGAGAGACCGAUAGCGAACAAGUACCGUGAGGGAAAGAUGAAAAGAACUUUGAAAAGAGAGUUAAACAGUGCGUGAAAUUGUUGAAAGGGAAACGUUUGACACCAGUCAUGUGGGUGGAAAAUCAGUCUUUUGCAUUGGGGAGUUGUAAGGGUUCGGACCGCAAGGCCGGCUUUUGCUUCAUCUUUGGUGUAAGUGAUGCACUUUUUCAUCUACAGGUCAACAUCAGUUUCUUUUGCUGGACAAAACUCCGAGAGAAGGUAGCAGCUUAGGCUGUGUUAUAGCUCUGGAGCGAUACAGUGAAGGGGACUGAGGUUUUCGCAGCGUGUGCUCUCGGGCAAGGCUGGAUGGGUGCUAUGGGAUCGUUCGGGGUACAAUGCCUGGCAUUUUGCUUCGUGUCUUUUCUAUACUCGCUCAACUCAGCUCUUCCACGCUUAGGAUGUUGACUUAAUGGUUUUAAACGACCCGUCUUGAAACACGGACCAAGGAGUCUAACAUAUAUGCAAGUGUUUGGGUGGCAAACCCAUGCGCGUAAUGAAAGUGAACGUAGGUGCGAUCCGCAAGGUGCAGCAUCGACCGAUCUUGAUAUUUUUGGAUAGAUUUGAGUAAGAGCAUAUAUGCUGGGACCCGAAAGAUGGUGAACUAUGCCUGAAUAGGGUGAAGCCAGA